AGCGAACGCUGGCGGCAGGCCUAACACAUGCAAGUCGAGCGCCCCGCAAGGGGGAGCGGCAGACGGGAGAGUAACACGUGGGAACGUACCCUUCAGUUCGGAACAACCCAGGGAAACUUGGGCUAAUACCGGAUACGUCCGUAAGGAGAAAGACUUAUCGCUGAAGGAUCGGCCCGCGUCUGAUUAGCUAGUUGGUGAGGUAACGGCUCACCAAGGCGACGAUCAGUAGCUGGUCNGAGAGGAUGAUCAGCCUCACUGGGACUGAGACACGGCCCAGACUCCUACGGGAGGCAGCAGUGGGGAAUAUUGGACAAUGGGCGCAAGCCUGAUCCAGCCAUGCCGCGUGGGUGAUGAAGGCCCUAGGGUUGUAAAGCCC
Molecule: ribosomal RNA, 376 nt
Filed under: uncultured bacterium
Lineage: Bacteria
Description: bacterial SSU rRNA
Rfam family: Bacterial small subunit ribosomal RNA
Source: RNAcentral